Humulus lupulus (European hop) is the source of this 882-nucleotide long non-coding RNA. RefSeq lists it as uncharacterized. Lineage: Eukaryota; Viridiplantae; Streptophyta; Magnoliopsida; Rosales; Cannabaceae. The record is from RefSeq and is a predicted model, not a curated record. The transcript is spliced from 4 exons.
UUUCCCUCUUCUAUUUUGCGCUAAAGGUAAUAAAAAAAGUCCCAAUUUUUUUCCCAAUUCUAUUUCUCAGCUCUCUCGCACCUCAGUCUCUCUCUCCCUUCUGAAACCGCAAAUGUCGAAACCCCUAAAUCCCACAAGGUCUUCUCCAUUUUCCCUCCCUCAGCUCACUGUUGGUUAAUUUUUUUUCAUUUUUUUGUUAGAUACCUCUUCUUCUUUAAUUUUUUCCCACUAUUUUUUUUCCUUUUUCUUCUUCCUGAUCUCCGACUCCUAGAUGGCCCUCCGACUGCCUGUCUCUUCGCCACCCUCCCUUCUACUCCGGCUCAUCUACAGGUGCAGCUCCCUCAUUAUUUUCAGGAAACUCAGUUUCCAAGUUCAAAUUCAAAAAAAAGCUUGAGUAGUUGACAGAAUGGAACAUUUGGUUUUGGAGCAAGAAAAGCAAUAUCCAUUUGGAGUAAGAGGACAACUUUCAAAUGCACAUGUAAAGGAAAAAGAAAGUUGGACCAUCCUUGAGUUGGAGAGCUUAGGUGACGAUGUGUACAUAUGCAAUUGCUCGACCGCCAUGGCCAAAGGUUGAAAGAGGAACUAGGGUUAAACCCUACUUUGCCGCUUAGGUUGACUGGUUGUAAAUAUUUUGUUGUAAUUAACCUUUAAAUUAUAUUUUUGGGAUCCCAAUGUAUACAGUAAACGUUUUAGUGAAACGUUGUAUCUUAACAAAAAAAUUUAAUCCUAAACUGCUAAUCAUACUUAGUUACAUGAUUAUGGCCAAAUGACUUGAUUAGUGACUUUAGCACUGUUUAAAAUGCACACUGUAAUGGUCCCUGGGUAGUAGGGUGUUACAACUUGGUAUCAGAGCGAGCCAAGGUUAAGGGUUCAUGAAGACAA